GGGCAAGGCCUAGCACAGAGUUUUCACAUGGUCCACACACAGUGCAUGGACCGACGAUCCAUGGGGAGCCGUGUGGACCAAUAGAGCAUUUCCCUCAUGCUUCUCGUGGUCCACAUGAACCAAAAGGAUGUUUCCCCUCGAUUUCUUGUGGCUCAUGAGUUCUUUUAUGGUCAAGAUCCAAUGGUUCAGGAGUGUUCUGGGCUUGAUGGUGUUGCUCUGGGUCUUGAUCUGAUGGCCAGGAUGCUUGAUCAAGUGCGAUCAGAUGGGCAGUGAUGUUUGCGGCAU
Molecule: long non-coding RNA, 285 nt
Filed under: Elaeis guineensis (African oil palm)
Lineage: Eukaryota; Viridiplantae; Streptophyta; Magnoliopsida; Arecales; Arecaceae
Description: long non-coding RNA (EGUI_LNC019853)
Source: RNAcentral